CCCGUCGCUUCACCCCCGAUACCUUUCUCCUGGCAUCCCAUCCGCCCAUCUCCGCCUCCAGUGCGGCCAUCGUCGCUCCCAGCGACUCCACUCGCACCCACGCCGCCGCAACUCAUCGCCUGUACCCUAGCACCACCCACAGCUGGCCUCCCCUCCCGCCGCCGUGGAGAAAUUCCUCCGCCUCCCGGAGCUACUCCGCUGCCCCGACGCCGCUAGACGCGCUGCCGCAGGCUCUGGUGCCACAUCCACCGCGUCCCCAUCGCAGGACAGGACAAGAGAGGUCGGCUUCCAGCGGCAUCCCCCAUGCCGGACAGCGAGCUCGCCUCCGGAUUCGCCACGGCAAGGUGCAGAUCCAGUAGCAUGGAGCCCUGCCCCGGCGCGCCUGCGCGGCUUUGGCAUGUGCGGCUCCGGCGGCGCGCGGCACUGCCCCGGUCACCUGCUCCAGCCCUGCCUCACCUGACCGAGCCUUCGGAGGAAGUCUAGCUAACCUGUUAAUCUGUUACUCUAUAAACGCUGAGCGGACCUCCACGGAGACGGCGGCAGCACCCAGAGCCUCGUCUUUGUUGGCUCUUUGUCUGCCGAGUGCUAGUGAGCUGAAACUGGAAUAGCUAGCAGGAGGAGGAGGAUAUUGCAGUUGCAGGCCACAACACUGAUUUAGGACGAUGCCUUGCUGUCUACUAAGCAGGAUGUCCAGGAUGCCAUCCUCAUUCACGGCCCCAGCAAUAAGCAACUGCGAGGAGUUAUCAGUCCCCAAUAUAUUCUUGUUGGCUGUGACAAAUCAGGCGGCCGAAUUGGUCUGCUAGCGUCGAAGUUUAUGCUUCAGGCUAUCAGCGUGCUUCACAUCGUUCAUCUAAAAUUCUGCAAAACAGAAGAAGAGGAAAAAGAGCCACAAUAGUAACAGUACCACCAAUAUUUUGCCCUAAAGCUUUUUGCAGCAAAAAUGUGAUCGUGACCAAGAUGUCCAAGAAGAGAUGCUUAAUAAUAAUAAUAAUAAGAUAAUGGGCUUCCAUUAUGUGAAUAUGAAGAGACAUCACAGGAUAGCAAAUAUGAAAAAUAAUAGUGUGAAUUGUGGCUGUCCCAGAAGAUUACGUUUGCAGCCAAGCUAAUUUUAACAUUAUUGAGCCUAUUAAGAAAAUCCCUUAUGAACCUAGAAAGGAACAAGUUGUGCUCAUCAAUGAUGCUUUCAUAGACAGGACGAACAUGGAGUGCCUUUUUCAGCCGAAUGAAUUUUUAAAUGAUCAGGUCAUAAAUGCAUACAUUACGUUAUUAAGGGCUCAAGAUCAUCUGAAGUUGAGGGCUUGUGGAAAAGUCCUCCUCAAGAAUUCUCUUAUCUCUAGUAUCCUCAAGAGGGAUGAUGAUGAUAAAAUUAAAAUUGUGGAUCUAUAUCCCACACAUGACAAGAAUGAAAUUAGAACCAUUGAGAAAUGAGUUCUAUCGUACCUGAUGCAAUAACAAUACUUAUUUCCUCUCAACGACUGGGGCUGGGACACCAAUGGAGACACUGAGGUGGCUCUGAGGAGAUUGUUGUUGGUGGCACGUUAGCAGCACUUUGAAAUAGACCGGCACUAGGGUGACGGUGAGGGAUGAAUAUUGAGGGCAAGAGAGAGGUGAUGAAGUUGCACUUUGUUACUUAGAUCCUUUGAGAAAUAAGGUUGUAGGCAUCCGAAUUGCCUAACAUAGUCCCUUGAAAACUAUUUCUACUUAUGUGGAAGGCAUAGUGUGUCUCUAUUGCUACAUGUUCAAAUAAAAAGUUUCCUAUGAUGAAGAAUGAUGAUUACAAUUUGUUUUCCUCAUA
This is a long non-coding RNA of Sorghum bicolor (sorghum), 1795 nucleotides long. RefSeq lists it as uncharacterized. Lineage: Eukaryota; Viridiplantae; Streptophyta; Magnoliopsida; Poales; Poaceae. The record is from RefSeq and is a predicted model, not a curated record. The transcript has 7 exons.